RNAcentral lists this ribosomal RNA (1195 nucleotides) under Salmonella enterica subsp. enterica serovar Heidelberg. Its description in RNAcentral is "partial 23S ribosomal RNA". It matches the Rfam family "Bacterial large subunit ribosomal RNA", at positions 137 to 1269 of the family's 2925-position model. The record is from RNAcentral. Lineage: Bacteria; Pseudomonadati; Pseudomonadota; Gammaproteobacteria; Enterobacterales; Enterobacteriaceae.
GACUCGUCACACUAUCAUUAACUGAAUCCAUAGGUUAAUGAGGCGAACCGGGGGAACUGAAACAUCUAAGUACCCCGAGGAAAAGAAAUCAACCGAGAUUCCCCCAGUAGCGGCGAGCGAACGGGGAGGAGCCCAGAGCCUGAAUCAGCAUGUGUGUUAGUGGAAGCGUCUGGAAAGGCGCGCGAUACAGGGUGACAGCCCCGUACACAAAAGCGCAUGUGCUGUGAGCUCGAUGAGUAGGGCGGGACACGUGGUAUCCUGUCUGAAUAUGGGGGGACCAUCCUCCAAGGCUAAAUACUCCUGACUGACCGAUAGUGAACCAGUACCGUGAGGGAAAGGCGAAAAGAACCCCGGCGAGGGGAGUGAAAAAGAACCUGAAACCGUGUACGUACAAGCAGUGGGAGCCCCACCACUAAGCCAGUGGUGAACUCCACAUACGCAUCCUUUGCUGAGGAUACGGUUAACGGAGCGAAAGCGACGUUCAACCGCAAAAGAAGCAGAGGGGGCUUAGUGGUGGGGUGACUGCGUACCUUUUGUAUAAUGGGUCAGCGACUUAUAUUCUGUAGCAAGGUUAACCGAAUAGGGGAGCCGGAGGGAAACCGAGUCUUAAUUGGGCGUUAAGUUGCAGGGUAUAGACCCGAAACCCGGUGAUCUAGCCAUGGGCAGGUUGAAGGUUGGGUAACACUAACUGGAGGACCGAACCGACUAAUGUUGAAAAAUUAGCGGAUGACCUGUGGCUGGGGGUGAAAGGCCAAUCAAACCGGGAGAUAGCUGGUUCUCCCCGAAAGCUAUUUAGGUAGCGCCUCGUGAAUUCAUCUCCGGGGGUAGAGCACUGUUUCGGCUAGGGGGCCAUCCCGGCUUACCAACCCGAUGCAAACUGCGAAUACCGGAGAAUGUUAUCACGGGAGACACACGGCGGGUGCUAACGUCCGUCGUGAAGAGGGAAACAACCCAGACCGCCAGCUAAGGUCCCAAAGUCAUGGUUAAGUGGGAAACGAUGUGGGAAGGCCCAGACAGCCAGGAUGUUGGCUUAGAAGCAGCCAUCAUUUAAAGAAAGCGUAAUAGCUCACUGGUCGAGUCGGCCUGCGCGGAAGAUGUAACGGGGCUAAACCAUGCACCGAAGCUGCGGCAGCGACGCUGAUGCGUUGUUGGGUAGGGGAGCGUUCUGUAAGCCUGCGAAGGUGACCUGUGAGGG